UUACCACUCUGGCCUUUUGGCUUAGAUCAAGUGUAGUAUCUGUUCUUAAUAGUUUAACCACUA
RNAcentral lists this small nuclear RNA (63 nucleotides) under Paxillus involutus ATCC 200175. RNAcentral describes it as "U2 spliceosomal RNA". It matches the Rfam family "U2 spliceosomal RNA", at positions 1 to 63 of the family's 192-position model. Rfam says of the family: U2 is a small nuclear RNA (snRNA) component of the spliceosome (involved in pre-mRNA splicing). Complementary binding between U2 snRNA (in an area lying towards the 5' end but 3' to hairpin I) and the branchpoint sequence (BPS) of the intron results the bulging out of an unpaired adenosine, on the BPS, which initiates a nucleophilic attack at the intronic 5' splice site, thus starting the first of two transesterification reactions that mediate splicing. Lineage: Eukaryota; Fungi; Basidiomycota; Agaricomycetes; Boletales; Paxillaceae. The record is from Rfam by way of RNAcentral.